UAGGGAAUCUUCCGCAAUGGACGCAAGUCUGACGGAGCAACGCCGCGUGAGUGAAGAAGGAUUUCGGUUCGUAAAACUCUGUUGUUAGAGAAGAACAGCGCAUAGAGUAACUGUUAUGCGUGUGACGGUAUCUAACCAGAAAGCCACGGCUAACUACGUGCCAGCAGCCGCGGUAAUACGUAGGUGGCAAGCGUUGUCCGGAUUUAUUGGGCGUAAAGCGAGCGCAGGCGGUCAAUUAAGUCUGAUGUGAAAGCCCCCGGCUCAACCGGGGAGGGUCAUUGGAAACUGGUUGACUUGAGUGCAGAAGAGGAGAGUGGAAUUCCAUGUGUAGCGGUGAAAUGCGUAGAUAUAUGGGGAAACACCAGUGGCGAAGGCGACUCUCUGGUCUGUAACUGACGCUGAGGCUCGAAAGCGUGGGUAGCAAACAGG
Molecule: ribosomal RNA, 429 nt
Filed under: Bacteroidota bacterium
Lineage: Bacteria; Pseudomonadati; Bacteroidota
Description: Bacteroidetes bacterium partial 16S ribosomal RNA
Rfam family: Bacterial small subunit ribosomal RNA
Source: RNAcentral